GGAUGUGAGGGCGAUCUGGCGGGGACGUCUGUCACUCCACUGAUCACCAGGGUUGAUUUAGCUGAUCUGGCUGGCUAGAUGCGUGUCCCCUUCCUCCCUCACUGUUCCAGGUGUGUCCCUCCCGAAGCUGUGACCUUCAUCGAAGGGGGCGACCACCCCCGAUAGAGGAGGACCGGACUUUGGUCAAGGGUAUGUGAGUAGCUGCGCUCCCCUGCUAGAACCUCCAAACAAGCUCUCGAGAAGGGGCGGGCGGGGGCUAGCUCCCUCUCUUUCUGCCAUGUGAGGACACAACGAGAAGUCAGCAGUCUGCAAUCC
Unclassified non-coding RNA from Gorilla gorilla gorilla (western lowland gorilla), 315 nucleotides. Its record names the gene 7SK. It matches the Rfam family "7SK RNA". Rfam says of the family: 7SK was discovered as an abundant small nuclear RNA in the mid-70s but a possible function has only recently been suggested. Two independent studies have found that 7SK RNA binds the CDK9/cyclin T complex (known as elongation factor P-TEFb). Lineage: Eukaryota; Metazoa; Chordata; Mammalia; Primates; Hominidae. The record is from Ensembl.